CAUGGAUUCAUCAUAAUAAGAUAUCAAGAAGAUCAAAAUUUUAUCAAGUUCCACAGAAUUGUAUAGCUAGAAAGUACAAUAAUCAAGCUAACAGGAAAACCAUUUAAGAAGAAGUAUGACCACAAGAUACAACUAAGCCUAUGCUAGUACCAGAAGACUGAUUGGUCAUUGGUAGCUUCUUCUCUUUGGUUCUCCUCUGAUGAAGCAAGAAGCAAUUCUACCUUUUACUGAGUCUUGGCAUAACCUAGAUCAUUUUCACUAUGAUAAUAACAAAUCAACGAGGCUCCCUUUUGAUCAGUCAAUCUUCACAGAUGAGUAGAUUUUCCUAACAAACCAGAAGGAAGCAUAGAAUCCGAUGGUUCCUGUUACUACAAAGAAGGCGUAUGAUGCAAUCAACAUAUAGCCGAAAUACAGGAUUCCUGAAACCAACUUUGUGAUUUCCAACUUGGUGAAGAAGUAGAAGACGGAGUAGAGAAACAGGUAUAAAGCAGAGGAUCCAGCAGUCAGAUAUGCUCUCCACCACCAAUGAUAGUCUUCGCUGCACAACUGGAAGUAACAGAGCACAACGGAUAUCUCCGCACAUGUGAUUAUCAAGAUCAGGAAAACGAUGAAAAGGAAGCCAAAGAUGUAGUAGUACUGGUUCAGCCAUAUAGAGGUCAGGAUGAAGAAGAGUUCAAUGAAAACAGCUCCAAAUGGGAGAAUACCCCCAAUAAGUACAGAAAAAGACGGUGUCAUGUACCAAGCCUGCUCUGGUAUUUGCCUAGGUAUUUUGUUUGUCUUAACAGGGUCCUCAAUGGCUGGCUUUUUAUAUCCAAGGUAGCUUCCAACAAACACCAAGGGGACCGAGAUUCCAAACCAUAAGCACACAAGAGCAAACAUGGUUCCAAAUGGCACUGCUCCAGAAGAUCGCUCUUCCCAGAUGAGAGCAUUCAAUAUGAAGAAGAUAGCAAAAAGUAUACCAGGGAACAUGAAAGCAGUUUUCAAGGUAAUCCUUUUCCAUUCUGUUCCCUUGAACAUCUUGUAUAGACGUGCAGAAGUAUACCCAGCCAACAAACCCAUGAAAACCCAUAACAGAACCAUGGCAGUCAUUAGUCCACCGCGGUUGGAAGGUGACAAGAAACCUAGCAGAGCAAAGAUCAUUGUGACUAGUGUCAUUGCAAGUAUUUGUACACCAGUUCCAACAUAAACACAAAGUAAUCCAGAAUUGAUUGGAGGACGGAAGACAUCUCCAUGAACAAGCUUCCAUCCUGUUUCUUCUUGAGCUUCAUCUUGUGUUUCCAAUUGGUUAUAGUUCGCAAUAUCUCUGUACAAAGUUCUCAUCAUAAUCAUGGCAACCAUACCAGAUAGGAAGAGAACGAUCAUAAGAGAAUUUAUGAUGGAAAACCAAUGAAUCUGAUCAUCAUUCAUGAGAAGGUAUGUAUCCCAACGAGAAGCCCACUUCACAUCGCUUUCCUUGAAAGCAACAUCAUAUGUGAAUAUAACCUCCUUAUCUGUAUCUACUUCCUGGGGAGCAGCACUACCUAGUAUCAAUUUUUUUGUAUUCUCAUUGCACGUCGAUACUUGAGGGUUCUUGUCAUUCCAUUCCUUGUAUUCGUGAUUAAUGCUGUUUGGAAUGACUUCAAACCCAACAAUACGAGCAGUAUCAGUUUCAGGAUCCUUGUGGUACUUAACUAGAAAGCUUAAGUGGUUGUUUAUAAAAUAUCUCUCCUCUUUGCUCCCAGCAUAAUUCCCCUUGAACCCAACACGGAAACCAUGUUCAUAUGUAGUUGACUGACUUCCAUCCUGCCUUUGCCUAGGAACAGCAACAGGAAGAUUAUCCAAUAUCAUAUUAACUUUGUAUUCAUCGUCAAUCUUUUCCUUGAAAUUUUUUGCAGAUUCAGCAUCAAGUUUUUGCCGACACAAUACUUGGCAUGACUGAUCUUGUCUCAUAAGGAAAGAAUAAACUGAAUUCUCUAUGCGGUCUCCUCGAAGAACCUCCCCCAGAUUCUCCGCACUAUUCAAAACUUUAGUAGGUUUGCAGAACUUCAAGUAGUAAUAGUCAUAGGGAAGUUGUGUCUUAGUAGAUGACAGCUUGUUCACUUUAACAUCAAGUGAAUCACCAGUUUGAAAAUCGCGAGGAGCAACGCCGGGGAGAUAGAAGGAGUUCGUCGACGAGAUGCAGAAGACAAUAGAGAAGCAGAUGACGGUGAGCCGGCCGGAUAAUCCGUGACCCAUCUUCAGUUUUUUC
Molecule: unclassified non-coding RNA, 2227 nt
Filed under: Hevea brasiliensis (rubber tree)
Lineage: Eukaryota; Viridiplantae; Streptophyta; Magnoliopsida; Malpighiales; Euphorbiaceae
Source: RNAcentral